GCCUCUGGACUAUUUCCUGGGUCCAGCCAUCUGAUUUGUUCACUAAACAGAGAGAGAUGCUUUAUUUACUCGACCACUUAAUUUUGCGAUCCUUCAAGCCCUGACCAUGAGCCUGCCAUAAUGAAAACUCCCCACUCUCCAAGGUCCCUGGAAUGGCACAAGUGGGCCACGCGUGAUGCGUCUUUAAAUGGUUUGUAGACAGAACUCUCCAGGGAGCAUUACGGUGCACUCAGUAUUAAAAUGGAUUUUAAAAUUUACAACAUUUAUGCAAAACAUUGAACAUAAUUCACAUGUAUCUCCUUAUGCUCCAUUGCUUCGGUGGUUAUCAGGCUGGGAAGACAGGAUCUGCCUUUUAAUUGGCCAUUUCCAGAUUUCUAGUGAGAUUCCCACGUCCACCAGCUACACCAGGAGCACGCAGCCCAAACAAAGCCCCGGGGUCCAUCUUCAGGAUAGUUCACGUGGGAGCAGUGAUGUAUGAGCAGCCAUGGGAGCUGGGCGUGCUCCCCACCGAUUACCUGGUGCACCGAAAAUCUGCCGACAGCCACAGCCAUGCACCUGCAGGGAUACCUGCACUCAUGCACACGUCCCCCAGGCCAGAGAGCGAUGUGAAGACCUAAGGUGCCCCGGACGGAGGGUCCACGAGCGCUCUGGGGCUGACUUCUCCUCCUGGCGCUGUCACCUUCGGAUGCCACCGCGAAUCUGUUCUGCGCAUUACCCAGUUACUCACUGCCUGUCUCCUACCCCAGCUUCACGGCUGCUUGGCCCACAGUCCCUCCUGCAUGAAAUCCUCUUUUAGCAGAAACGGCAUUCUUCCCGAAGGGUGUUAUUUCCCUCGUAAUCUCAGCAUCGGCCAGGCUGUGCUGGAGGUCACUCUCUGGGAGGCGCUCUGAGAGGUCCAGGGCAGGAAAGCGGGUGUGACGUUCUCAUCUCUUCCAAACCUGUCUCUGUUCGCGGUCCGUUUCAUCUGCCCCACGGGGCCCUUCCCACUCCUCGCUUCCUGUUCACCCUUCCCCUCAGUGGACGCAGCCUGUGCACUUUCUCGCUUGUGCUGGGCACACGCAUGGACCAUCUGUGGCUGUCCUGCUGACGCCCUCGCUUACGCACCGUGGCAAGUCAUGAGCCGCCAUGAAGACUUUGAACCUCCUCUCCUGGAGAGGUGGGGUCUGUCCCCCC
This 1173-nucleotide long non-coding RNA is filed under the name Fukomys damarensis (Damara mole-rat). RNAcentral describes it as "lncRNA (ENSFDAG00000030459.1)". The record is from RNAcentral. Lineage: Eukaryota; Metazoa; Chordata; Mammalia; Rodentia; Bathyergidae.